GACGAACCUUGCUAACGUUAUUCGGAAUUACUGGGCUUAAAGGGUGCGUAGGCGGUGCGGAAAGUCGGGUGUGAAAUCCCCCAGCUCAACUGGGGAAUUGCGCCUGAAACUGCCGUGCUCGAGGAAGACAGAGGUACGCGGAACUUAGGGUGGAGCGGUGAAAUGCGCAGAUAUCAGGAGGAACACCAAUGGCGAAGGCAGCACUCUGGGACGUGACUGACGCUGAGACGCGAAAGCGUGGGGAGCAAACAGG
RNAcentral lists this ribosomal RNA (253 nucleotides) under uncultured bacterium. RNAcentral's name for it is "partial 16S ribosomal RNA". It matches the Rfam family "Bacterial small subunit ribosomal RNA", at positions 524 to 776 of the family's 1533-position model. The record is from RNAcentral.